CAGAACUGCAGAAGAAGCCUCCACUCAUACAAAUAACAUAAACAGCCCAUACACAAACACACACACAGUCCCCACGAACACAACACCACUGACAAUCCACAUACACAUACACAACCCCACAUGCAGCCUCACACAUGCAAUACCAUAAGCAGCCCCACACAAAUAUCACCACCAAACAUACAAUGUGGCAUACAAUCCAGACAUACAAUUCCACAAGUGGCCCACAUUCAUA
Molecule: non-coding RNA, 232 nt
Organism: Pelobates cultripes (western spadefoot toad)
Lineage: Eukaryota; Metazoa; Chordata; Amphibia; Anura; Pelobatidae
Source: the annotation of a GenBank genome assembly